RNAcentral lists this ribosomal RNA (253 nucleotides) under uncultured prokaryote. RNAcentral's name for it is "partial 16S ribosomal RNA". It matches the Rfam family "Bacterial small subunit ribosomal RNA", at positions 524 to 776 of the family's 1533-position model. The record is from RNAcentral.
GACGUAGGAUGCAAGCGUUGUCCGGAUUUAUUGGGCGUAAAGAGUUCGUAGGUGGUUCGUUAAGUCUGAUGUUAAAGAUCGGGGCCCAACCCCGGGACUGCAUUGGAUACUGGCGGACUGGAGUGUAGUAGAGGCAAGCGGAAUUCCCAGUGUAGCGGUGAAAUGCGUAGAUAUUGGGAAGAACACCAGUGGCGUAAGCGGCUUGCUGGGCUAUAACUGACGCUGAGGAACGAAAGCCAGGGGAGCGAAUGGG